Long non-coding RNA from Myotis lucifugus (little brown bat), 3302 nucleotides. RefSeq lists it as uncharacterized. The record is from RefSeq and is a predicted model, not a curated record. NCBI's taxonomy places the organism in Eukaryota, Metazoa, Chordata, Mammalia, Chiroptera, Vespertilionidae. The transcript is spliced from 6 exons.
CCGAACUGGCCAAGUUACCGUGAUGACGGCGGGAAUGCUGUCGGGGAAGGAGGUGACUGAGAAGGCGGACGGCAUCGUGCCCGGAAACACCGCCCUCGCCGCCGCCGUCAGGCUGAGCCCGCCCGACUACCGUCAGGCACAGUGUUCCCUGCACCUGAGUGGAAAGAUCCGGAAAGAUCCAAAGUGACCCCGCACGUGCAGUGCAGACUGUUUCCCGCAAAGCCGACACCCUUAUUCUCUCCCGACUUCCGCCCAGGAGGUGACUGCCCCUCCGGCGGUGCCCCCAGUCCCCGGAGCGGCGCUCAGGCCCGGGGGUGGGAGUGGGGGGCCGGGGGGCCGGGGCGCCAGGUGAGCGGGCGUCCACGGGCUCACAGCGGAGCCGCAGUUUAACGGGGGCGCCAGCAGGUGGCAGCACGAGGCCGGUACCAGGUCCCGCGCUGUGGGAUCUGGUCCACCUUUUUCACGAUGUUUGCAACAAAAUGAGUUUUCAUAUAUUCGUACCUGUUGAACGGAGAGGUUUUAAUCAACACCAUUGGACUUUAGACAAAGACCUUUCAUGCAAAAGGAGAAAGAAGAGUUCGGGGAAACAAGUGUAGUUCCUGUCUUCUUCGGGGACAUUGAAUCAGUAACAAUAUGUUACCAAUGGAGGAGGUUCAGGUUUCUCUUUCUGUAAAGGAGACAGACACGCACAGGACACGGUUCUGUCUGUGGAAACCGUCUUCGUUCACAGAGUCCCGAGGAGAGCAUCCAAGAGACCCCCGCGAGGGGUGUGGCGUGGCGAGGGCAGAAGGCUGGCCCCUGGGUGCAGUGUCUCAUCGCUGUCCCACCGUAGAAGAAGUCCAGCCUCCUUUUCAUCAAAUUGUCUUUCAGAGCAUGCCCACCAGGUCACACAGCCCAUCAGAGUGACUAGGGGUCAAAGGGCACGCCUUAUAGUUUAGAAGACUAUGGGACCGCUGACGCAGUCCGGUCAUUUCCAGAUUACUUCCUCGGACUUAAUGGGUCAUAAUUGAUGGAGGAAUGUGCGCUGGCACUCCAUUUUCACGAGGAUAAUGAUACGCUGAAGGAAUAAUGACUGGCUAACAGGAGUCACCAAGGUGAGAGAGCUCACAAACAUUCGUAUGUCUGUCUCUCCCGAGCUCCCCACCAGCAGUCACGACAGGACAUCCUCCACCCCAAGGCCUCCAUGCCCCCUCCCAGCGCAGCCACUCCCUUCCCAGCCUGGUAAGCAGGGUCUGUGACUGACCCCCUGGUCCACCCCCGUCCACUUCCCGCUGGAAACAGCUCUUACUCCUCUAAUCAUCGGACGUGAUCAUCAUCAGAUCUAACAGUCGGAUCCUGGCAAUUAAAAGUUAGCUAUCAGAAUAGUAAGAGUUGUGCAGUUUGGGAAGGAAGAAAUAAACUGUCUUUGCUCACAGAAGAUAUGCCUGUAUGUGUAGAAAUGCCAAAGACUCAAGAACAACAAUCUCCUGGAACUGACGUGGCUACAGCACGGGCUGCAGGGCUCACACUUAAUGCACAAAAGCCAUCACUUUCCUACACACCAGCGGGAACCACUGAAAUCUGAAAUUAACAACCCAACGCCAUGGGCAUAAGCACCCAAAUAAGGAGAAACGCUGAGACCUAAGACUAAGAAACGUACAAAAUAAAUGUAAGGAAAACCACCUCACUCAUGAAAAGAGUCAGAGAAGACCUGAAUGGAUGCAAAGAUGGUCCACGUUCCUGGGGAGGUGACUCAAUGUUGACCAGAUGUCUGUUCUUCCCAACUUGACCUAUAGAUUCAAUGCAGUCCAACCAGAUUCAAGCAAGUUGGUUUGUGGCUAUCGACAGAAUGAUUCUGAAGUUUCUAUGGAGAGAAGCCACGUGCCCUGAGGGGCCAGCACAGUAUUGAAGGAGGAGAACAGAGUGGAGGGCCUGACACUCGGGGGUCUUAACUUAUCAUAAAGCUGCCGUGACCAUGGGGGGGCGGGUUGUUGGUGAAAUAAUGGGCAAGUAGAGCAAUGGGACAGAGCAGAAAGCCAAGAACAGACCCCAUAAAUACAGUCACUUGAUCUUUGACAGAGGCGCAGGGGCAGCACAACAGAGAAAGGACAGUCCCUUUAGCCACGGGAGCUGGAAUAACUGGAUAGCUUCUUACAAAAGUAAAGCUAGACACAGACCUCACACCCAGCACAGAAUUAACUCAAAAUGGAUCACAGACCUAAAUGUGAAACGCAAAAUUACAAACUCCAAGCAGAUGGCAUAGGAUAAAACCCAGAUGACCGUGGGUAUUGGGAUGUCUUUGUAGCUACACCAUCAAAAGGGCUCUUGGUCACGGAGGCCCAUGAGUGGCUGUGGAUGACAGAAGCCAUCACAGGCCAGGCAGCUGGUCGACCAGACCAUUUCAGGCGGAACAGGAGGUGGUGCAGAUAAACCGUGAGGGUCUGGUGGCAGGUGCAUCUGCAGGCAGGACAGCCUGGGAGAGGCCAUGACAGAGGGAAAACCAGAGCCGGGAAGCGGUGAUGGAGCCAGGAGGGCUCUGCUCACACCAGGUCUGGAGAGCAGUUCUUCCCUCAGGGGCUCGGGGACCAAGGCUGCUCUUCCCCAGGAACAUUCCCCGCACUGACCUCCCAGGGGAGCGCGUUGCAGGUAGAUCGCAGGCAAAGAGGUAAAUUAUUGCCCUCCCUCCAAAAGAGGGGACAGGCGAUUGAGGGGCUUCCAGGCCGGCCUGGGAGACAUGCCCAGGGUCGGGGGUUGUCUUGUGCCCUUCCUGGCCCGGCAAACAGAAAGCUCAGUGACUUCAGAGAGACCGGGUUCUUUAACCCGUGUGUUCAGAAAGCGUCCGUCUUCCUGUGGGGCUGAAACCCACAUCCCAGAAGGGCAGAGAGGGCAGAGGAAUAACCUUACACUUAGUGCCAGCGGCUGAGCCCCACCUGGCAUUGGCCUCCGGGCCUGAAUAGAGGGAUCGCGACUUUAUUUGCUGAGAAGAACUCCGACUGCCCAUCCCAUUCCGCAGGAGGCGCGGCCCACAGCUCAUUGUUUGAAAGGACUUCAGCCCAGAGAAGGCGGGGAUUGCAGAGACAGACGCGCAUUUUCCGCAGAGUAACUUAUUUUGGAAGAGCUCGCUUUUAUUCUCGGGGGAGGAAAUGGACGCACUGCCCUCUGAUGCUCCUUGCAGGGAUGAUACCAGCACAGUGUCUUCCAAACGCGCCUCCGUGCUCAGGCUCACAGCUUAGUGCCAGCGUCUGGGGAUCCUGAAGCUUCUCGCGCGUUUCCACGGCAGGGAAGUGUUCUGAAUACAGGUUAUAUUUACAGUGAUCCCUGAA